CGGGGCGUAGCGCAGUUUGGAAGCGCACUUGGUUUGGGACCAAGGGGUCGUGGGUUCAAAUCCCUCCGCCCCGACCA
Molecule: transfer RNA, 77 nt
Filed under: Clostridia bacterium
Lineage: Bacteria; Bacillati; Bacillota; Clostridia
Description: tRNA-Pro
Rfam family: tRNA
About the family: Transfer RNA (tRNA) molecules are approximately 80 nucleotides in length. Their secondary structure includes four short double-helical elements and three loops (D, anti-codon, and T loops). Further hydrogen bonds mediate the characteristic L-shaped molecular structure. tRNAs have two regions of fundamental functional importance: the anti-codon, which is responsible for specific mRNA codon recognition, and the 3' end, to which the tRNAs corresponding amino acid is attached (by aminoacyl-tRNA synthetases). tRNAs cope with the degeneracy of the genetic code in two manners: having more than one tRNA (with a specific anti-codon) for a particular amino acid; and 'wobble' base-pairing, i.e. permitting non-standard base-pairing at the 3rd anti-codon position.
Source: RNAcentral